GGCCAGCAGCCGCGGUAAUACGGAGGAUGCAAGCGUUAUCCGGAAUGAUUGGGCGUAAAGCGUCCGCAGGUGGCUAUGUAAGUCUGCUGUUAAAGAGCAAGGCUCAACCUUGUAAAGGCAGUGGAAACUACAUAGCUAGAGUGCGUUCGGGGCAGAGGGAAUUCCUGGUGUAGCGGUGAAAUGCGUAGAUAUCAGGAAGAACACCAGUGGCGAAAGCGCUCUGCUAGGCCGCAACUGACACUGAGGGACGAAAGCUAGGGGAGCGAAUGGGAUUAGAUACCCCAGUAGUCCUAGCCGUAAACGAUGGAUACUAGGCGUUGCUUGUAUCGACCCGAGCAGUGCCGUAGCUAACGCGUUAAGUAUCCCGCCUGGGGAGUACGCACGCAAGUGUGAAACUCAAAGGAAUUGACGGGGGCCCGCACA
This 423-nucleotide ribosomal RNA is filed under the name uncultured bacterium. Its description in RNAcentral is "bacterial SSU rRNA". It matches the Rfam family "Bacterial small subunit ribosomal RNA", at positions 506 to 927 of the family's 1533-position model. The record is from RNAcentral.